Molecule: non-coding RNA, 2804 nt
Organism: Cajanus cajan (pigeon pea)
Lineage: Eukaryota; Viridiplantae; Streptophyta; Magnoliopsida; Fabales; Fabaceae
Source: RefSeq, a predicted model, not a curated record
AACCUUAAUUAAACUCGAACAUGGUCGUGAUUCGUUAAUCUAAGACAUGUCGAACACAAUAAAUUCAUACCCAAAAAACAGUUUAUAUAAGAUGGUGGCGCCGAAUAUUGCGACAAAGUAGCUUUACUAUAUAAGUUCUAUAUUAUAUUAUGAUAUAUACUUUAUACAUUUAUAGAUGAAUUGGCCAAUUAAUAUAUUAACCUGACUUGGAGCAAUAUUAUCUGUUUUGGAUUCAUUUUCACCUCGUUGACGACCCAAGUCGUUCACCAUUGCAACAAUAGUUGAAAGCCAUAGAGGAAGGAAAGAAUCUAAAGGAUGUUCCUUGAGCACUUUUUCUGUUAUCAUGGGGCCACUUUCUUCUAUAAAUCCCCACUCCUUCAUUCAACACCACGCCACUACCACUCCCACCAUCUUGUUCUUCUUCGGGCAUUCAAGGGUAGGAGGAAAAGCUGCCGACAAAAGUAAUAUUUUGAGAGAAAAUAGAGCAAACUACACCAAGAUAUGACAAGAAUUGAGAACCUGAUGGAAACAAGAGAUUGAGCAAUUGCCCCAGUUUGAUGUCAAAUUAAUGGAGUGAAAAGUGGAAGGAUUUAGACUAACUUGGACUUUGAACAAGUGAGACAAAUGAUUUACAUCACUUUAGACUCGAGUGGAUAGAAUCAAACAGUGACACAUAUGGGAAGGAUAACCCGUAUUUAGAAUGGUGGAAUAUGGAUGAUACAGGCAUUGACUUGAUUAAAAUUGAGACACAUGGAUUAUAUGAUUGGAAUGAAAAUGUGAUGAUAGUUGAGAACUUGUCCCAGUAUAAAAAGAGUACUUUGAGUUGCCCCAAUUUAUAAAGAAAUAGGGAACAAAGUUGGAUUAGACAAUUAUUCCAAUCAUAGGCUAAGGUGAUGAAAUGACGAUGAGAUCUUUUGCCUCAGUGUGAAGUGGUUGUUCCAAUUUAGUCUUGAGAGGCAGGGGUAGAGUAGGAGACAAUGAUGAAUGUGAUUGCUUUGUUUUCUGAUUCAAGGAAAUAACAUUGAUGUAUGAAUUGAUGGAAGAAUGAGACAUAAAACAAAUGUCUCAUUUAAUUGGGUUCAACUAACCAUAGCGAGUUUGAACCCAUUAUGCUUCCUCAAGUUUGCUUUCGGCCAAUACUCUCAAAGAAGGUAUCUCAACCUCAAUGGGAAUGAUUGCUUCCAUACCAUAAACCAGAGAAUACGGAGUUGCCCCAGUAGAGGUGCGGACAAAAAUGUGAUAUCCAUACAGAGCAAAAAAGAGCAUUUCAGGCUAAUCCUGGUAGGCGACCACCAUCUUCUGAAUAAUCUUCUUUAUAUUCUUAUUUGCCGCUUCUAUUGCCCCAUUCAUCUUAGGACAACAUGGUGAAGGAUUGUGAUGUUGAAUUUUGAACUCUUCACACAACUCUUUCAUCAUCUUGUUACUCAUAUUGGUCUUAUUAUCAAUAACGAUGUGAAUUGAUAGACCAUCAAAAUAACAAAUUAAAUCUCUUUUGAUGAACUUGACCACCACAUUGCUUGUCACACAGGUAUAGGAAGCUACCUUAAUCAAUAACAACAAGGAUGAAACAAUGGCCUUUUGAUGCUUUUGGUUCAUUUCUCUUCUUUUUCAUUUUCAUUGUUUUGAUGGUAUCAUAAACAAGCUGAAUUAAAUGGGAACAUUGUGUUGCCCCUGUUUUGAGGGUGAGUCUUGUUUGAAGUAGUUGAAGAAAAUUUUCACUUUUAGGCUCAAAUUUGAGUGGCAAGUGAUGGUCAUACAUCAUUUCAAAUCUUGACUGCUUAUUUUUUAAAAGUUAAUCCUAAGACAAAACUUAAUGAACUCCAUGUUACUCCUUUUCUUUUUAUCUUUUUUUUUUGUUUGUCCUAACUUUUGCUUAGACCACCCUUUCGGGUUUUCAGUCUAACGGACUUUACAUUUUUUCACUUGUUUUUUUUUUUUUUUGCUCAUAGGACUUGUCUCCAUUAAAUGUAGUAGUUGGUGGGACAAAUACUCAUAAAAUGAUAAAUUUGCCCCAAUAAGAAAUCUUCAAAUUUCUAUUGUCAAACUUUCUAAUUGAGAAUCAUCCAACAGACUUGACUUUUAUGAGGACAAACUCUUUAUUUUUUGGAAGAAUAAUGAGGAAACUAUGAGAUGUAAUGGGACAAAGACAAUUUAUGACAAUGAAGAUAACAACACAAUUUGUUAUGCAAGUUAAUGAAAUUGAUACUUAAAGGGUUAACAAUGGUUUUCAAACCAUGUCAAUUGACAAGUUAAAUUUUCAAGGAGCUCAUCUUCUCGAUUGAGAAUUAAAUGUAAGUGAGAACAAUAAUUUCAUGUUAUUCCCCAUUUUUCUUUGUUUCCUGUUUUUUCUUUUUCUUUUAAGACAUUGCAUAAAUUUGUUGCUUGACAUCCUCUUUAAAAGAAAAUAAUCAUAUUAGAUAGUGUUUUUUUUGUAAAUGACAUGAAUGAGCAAUCACUUAGACCUUUAUUUUACUAUGAAAUGCAUGUAUAUAAAAAAUGUUGGAAUGAAGAAUUUGAAAUGAAAAAAAAAUGUUUUUUUUGCUUUUUUAUAUUUUUUUUAUAGAGAAACAAAUGCAUUUGAUUUGCGAUGAUAAAGUGAAAAUGAAUGCAAUUAUGGAGAAUGACAAGAAAAGACGAUAUGCCUAAUGAAUAUACCUAACAUGAUUAUUUAAUCUAAAUAAUGCUUAUGCGUGAAUGUCAUGAAAAAUUAUAAAAAUAUUGAAUGUUAUGAGAUACAUUUUAGACUAAAUGCUCAAAUGGAAUAAUGAUCUUACUUUGAAUUAUGCAAGAGAGAAUUGUAUUCA